AUUUCUCUGAGAUGUUUGCAAGCGGGCCAGUCCCCUGAGCCGAUACUUCAUACCACAAGAAUGUGGCGCUCCGCGGUUGGUGAGCAUGCUCGGUUCGUCCGAGAAGCCUUAAAACUGUGACGACACAUUCACCUUGAACCAAAGGUUCAAGGGUUACAGCCUGCGGCGGCAUCUCGGAGAUUCC
This 184-nucleotide non-coding RNA is filed under the name Salmonella enterica. RNAcentral's name for it is "6S RNA". It matches the Rfam family "6S / SsrS RNA". From Rfam's summary of the family: E. coli 6S RNA was the first non coding RNA to be sequenced, but its function was unknown until recently. It consists of 184 nucleotides that fold into an extended hairpin structure with a large single-stranded internal bulge. Lineage: Bacteria; Pseudomonadati; Pseudomonadota; Gammaproteobacteria; Enterobacterales; Enterobacteriaceae. The record is from RNAcentral. RNAcentral also lists the same sequence under 1 other name.